UUUUAUGUCUCUGGAUUUUAUCUCAGCUUAUAUAGUUGUGUUUAUUUGUGGUUCUGUGACACCAAACAAUAUGUUUUAACAUUCUAUGUGACAUUCUCUUUGACUAAUAGACAUUUAUUUUGUCUUAUUGGUCUCUUUGGUCUAUUUUGACUAAAAAGGGGGAGAAGUAGCUAAAGGAGAGUUGCAGUUAAUAUGUGCUAUGAAGUAGCUAUGCUAUAAAUAGAUGACAGAUGAUGUUGAACAAGAUGUUUUGUGUAGUACAGGUGAUGUUGAAGAUGAU
Molecule: long non-coding RNA, 280 nt
Filed under: Lathyrus oleraceus (garden pea)
Lineage: Eukaryota; Viridiplantae; Streptophyta; Magnoliopsida; Fabales; Fabaceae
Description: Pisum sativum (pea) long non-coding RNA (PSAT_LNC020266)
Source: RNAcentral